Molecule: ribosomal RNA, 440 nt
Filed under: uncultured bacterium
Lineage: Bacteria
Description: partial 16S ribosomal RNA
Rfam family: Bacterial small subunit ribosomal RNA
Source: RNAcentral
CCUACGGGUGGCAGCAGUAGGGAAUAUUGCACAAUGGGGGAAACCCUGAUGCAGCGACGCCGCGUGAGUGAUGAAGGAUUUCGGAAUGUAAAGCUCUAUCAUCAGGGAAGAAAAUGACGGUACCUAACUAAGAAGCACCGGCUAACUACGUGCCAGCAGCCGCGGUAAUACGAAGGGGGCAAGCGUUAUCCGGAUUUACUGGGUGUAAAGUGAGCGUAGACGGGAUCGCAAGUCUGGUGUGAAAGCCCAGGGCUUAACCCUGGAGCUUCAUUGGAAACUGUGAAACUAGAGUGCAGGAGAGGUAAGUGGAAUUCCUGGUGUAGCGGUGAAAUGCGUAGAGAUUAGGAGGAACACCAGUGGCGAAGGCGACUUACUGGACUGUAACUGACGCUGAUGCGCGAAAGCGUGGGGAGCAAACAGGAUUAGAUACCCCAGUAGUC